UGCAGUCGACGGCAGCAAGAGGACUUGCUCCUUGUGUGGCCAGUGGGGGACGGGUGAGGAAUAAUCGGACUCUACUUUGGGGUGGGGGAUAACGUAGGGAAGCUUACACUAAUACCGUACACUACCUAAAGGUGAAAGCGGGGGACCCUCGGGCCUUGCGCGAUUGAAUGAGCCGAAUUCAGAUUAUCGUGUUGGCGGGGUAAAGGCCCACCACGGCCACUAUCCGUACCUGGUCUAAGAGGAUGAUCACCCACACUGAAACUGAGACACGGCCCAUACUCCUAGGGGAGGCGGCUGUGGGGAAUAUUGGACAAUGGGCCCAAUCCUGAUCCACCCAUACCGUGUGGGUGAACAAGGCCUUCGGGUUGUAAAGCCCUUUUGUUGAGGCAAAAUUACUUCUGGCUAAUACCUGGUGGGGAUGACUGUACCAAAAAAAUACGCCCCGGCUAACUUCGUGCCCCCAGCCGCUAUAAUAGGAGGGGUGCUAGCUUUACUCAAAAUUACUGGGCGUAAAGCUUGCCUACGUGGUCUUUUAAAUGUGUUGUGACCGCCCUGCGCUCAACCUGUGAACUGCAUUGUAUACUGGGCGACUAUAGUGUAGUAUAGGGUAGCUCAAUUCGUGGUGUAGCAAUGAAUUGCGUACAGAUCAAGAGAACAUCCGUGGGAACGCUCCUACCUGGACCACACUGACACUGAGGCAAAUAGCGUGAGGAGAAAACAAGAUAUAUACUCUGGUACUCCACGCACUAAAUGAUCCAAACUGGGUGUUGCGUGCAGUUUGACACGCACUGCGAAGCUAACACGAUACUUCGCCGGCAGGGGAGUACGGUCGGAAGACUGAAACUCAAAUGAAUUGACGCGCGCACGCACUGGCGGUGGGUGUAUGUUGUUUUAUUUCGAUGCCAACGAAACAUAACCCUUGCCUGGGCCUU
Molecule: ribosomal RNA, 932 nt
Filed under: uncultured bacterium
Lineage: Bacteria
Description: bacterial SSU rRNA
Rfam family: Bacterial small subunit ribosomal RNA
Source: RNAcentral